UACGUAGGGUGCAAGCGUUGUUCGGAAUUACUGGGCGUAAAGCGCACGUAGGCGGGUUUACAAGUCGAUUGUGAAAUCCCCGGGCUCAAUCCGGGAAUGGCAGUCGAAACUGUAAGUCUUGAAUACCUGAGAGGGUGACGGAAUUCCUGGUGUAGAAGUGAAAUUCGUAGAUAUCAGGAGGAACACCGGAGGCGAAGGCGGUUGCCUGUCAGUGUAUUGACGCUGAGGUGCGAAAGCGUGGGGAGCAAACAGG
Molecule: ribosomal RNA, 253 nt
Filed under: uncultured bacterium
Lineage: Bacteria
Description: partial 16S ribosomal RNA
Rfam family: Bacterial small subunit ribosomal RNA
Source: RNAcentral